UACAGCCAUAUCACAGUGAAACACUGGUUCUUGUAUGAUCACAGAAGUUAAGCAAAAUCAGGCCUGAUCAUUACCUAGAUGGGUGACCACUUACGAAUUCUAGGUGUUGUAAG
Acanthosepion pharaonis is the source of this 113-nucleotide non-coding RNA. NCBI's taxonomy places the organism in Eukaryota, Metazoa, Mollusca, Cephalopoda, Sepiida, Sepiidae. The record is from the annotation of a GenBank genome assembly.